RNAcentral lists this ribosomal RNA (472 nucleotides) under uncultured bacterium. RNAcentral's name for it is "partial 16S ribosomal RNA". It matches the Rfam family "Bacterial small subunit ribosomal RNA", at positions 28 to 507 of the family's 1533-position model. The record is from RNAcentral.
GAUGAACGCUGGCGGCGUGCCUAACACAUGCAAGUCGAACGCAUGAACGUGGUGCUUGCAUGGGUUGGGUGAGGGGCGGACGGGUGAGUAAUACGUGAGUAACCUGCCCUUGAGUCUGGGAUAAGCCUGGGAAACUGGAUCUAAUACUGGAUACGACAUUGCACGGCAUGGUUCUGUGGGGAAAGGGUUUUAGUGGGUUUCGAUGGGCUCACGGCCUAUUGGCUUGGUGGUGGGGUAAUGGUACACCAAGGCGACGACGGGUCGCCGGCCUGAGAGGGUGACCAGCGACACUGGGACUAAGAGACGGAGCAGUCUGGAACGGUAGGCAGCGGGCGGAAGUCUUACACAAUGAGGCGAAGCGUGAGACGAAGGUGCCGGGUGAGGGAAGACGGCUUUCGGGUUGUAAACCUCUGUCAGCACAGAAGAAGCGAGAGUGACGGUACCUGCAGAAGAAGCGCCGGCUAACUACGUG